RNAcentral lists this long non-coding RNA (609 nucleotides) under Mytilus galloprovincialis (Mediterranean mussel). Lineage: Eukaryota; Metazoa; Mollusca; Bivalvia; Mytilida; Mytilidae. The record is from RNAcentral.
UGAUAGUCGGUUAUAGAGCUCACCAAAGCUUAUAUUUUUUCUCACGGUUAAGUAUAAAAGUAUAUACAUGUAUAUAUAAACGAGUCUAAAUUGAAAACUAUGUUCAAACCUAUGAUUGCGUUGGAUAAAAACCGGAAUUUUUAUACGUGUGCUUGUAAAACAAAUUUCGUUGUAGAAGGGUCUAAAAACAGCACAAACAACAUUUUCCAAAAGACCAAAAAAGUGAAAAAGUAUAUUUAAACAAAACGCAUUUGACCAUCAGCGAUUGCCAAAUAAAAUUGAUCACAAGAUGUAAUAAAUGGAUCUUAAUAUAAAUUUAAUACUAAACAGAAAAAAAUUAACUUGUGGCCACGAUGCUAUGCCACUAACAUACGGUGUCAAUAUUUUUUUAUUACACCAGAUGCUGAUUUCGACAAUAGAUGUCUCUUCAGUGAUGUUAGGGAUCGAAACGGUAUUUGGAAGGCCAUAUAAAAAGUACCCUCUUUUUUUGAAAAAGUAUCCUCAUUUUUUAGAUAGACUCUUGAAUUUUAAGAGUCAAUGUAGGAUGAACGGAUCAUAUAAACCGAGGGGAAAAUAUGAUACAACCCCAAACGAAAAAAUAUAAACGAG